GACGAACGCUGGCGGCGUGCUUAACACAUGCAAGUCGAACGGAAAGGCCCUGCUUGCAGGGUACUCGAGUGGCGAACGGGUGAGUAACACGUGGGUGAUCUGCCCUGCACUUCGGGAUAAGCCUGGGAAACUGGGUCUAAUACCGGAUAGGAGCCAUUUUUAGUGUGAUGGUUGGAAAGUUUUUUCGGUGUAGGAUGAGCUCGCGGCCUAUCAGCUUGUUGGUGGGGUAAUGGCCUACCAAGGCGGCGACGGGUAGCCGGCCUGAGAGGGUGGACGGCCACAUUGGGACUGAGAUACGGCCCAGACUCCUACGGGAGGCAGCAGUGGGGAAUAUUGCACAAUGGGCGCAAGCCUGAUGCAGCGACGCCGCGUGGAGGAUGACGGCCUUCGGGUUGUAAACUCCUUUCGCUAGGGACGAAGCUUUUUGUGACGGUACCUAGAUAAGAAGCACCGGCUAACUACG
This 463-nucleotide ribosomal RNA is filed under the name uncultured bacterium. RNAcentral's name for it is "partial 16S ribosomal RNA". It matches the Rfam family "Bacterial small subunit ribosomal RNA", at positions 28 to 505 of the family's 1533-position model. The record is from RNAcentral.